ACCAAAUUUUAGAGCAUUUCCAACCCAAACCCACAAAAAGAAUCAUUCAUUGAGGUGAAAUUCACAUAGCAAGCAAUGAACCGUUUUAAAGUGAGUAAGUCAGGACACUUAGUACAGUCGCAAGGCUGCGCAACCCCCAGCUCUGGCUAGUUCCAAAGCAUUUCCGUCGUCCCCAGCAGAAACACCGUCCCCAUCAUCGUUCAACAGUCGCUCCCCACGCCCCCCAGCCCUGGGCAACCUCUGAUCUAUGGAUUUGCCUGUUCCGGACGUUUCAUAGAAAUGGAACCAUACAAUAUGUGGCGUUUUAUGCCCGGCAGCCUUGCUUAGCAUCAUGUUUCCAAGGUUCAUCCACACGGUCGCGUGUAUCAGCAUCUCUUUCCUGAUGAAUAGUGAAUUGUAUGGACGGAUCCCCUUUAGUUUCUCCAUCCAUCCACUGGUAGCCAUGUGAACUAUUGCCAGCAUUGGGCUUUUGUGAACAGGGCUGCUCCGAAUGGGCGGGUCCACACACCUGUUUGAGUUUGUUUCCACUUAUUUAGGGGCACACACUUUAGGGGUGGAAUUGCAGGGUCAUAUGGUAAAUCUGCUUCCCUUCAUUCAUAACUUUUUUCUUUUUUGAUUGAAAUAUAGUUGAUUUACAAUGUGUUAGUUUCAGGUGUACAGCACAGUGAUUCAGUUAUAUAUAUAUACACACAUAUGUAUCAGUCAUAACAUACACACAUAUAUACACCCAUAUGUAUUUAGAUUAUUUUCCCAUCUAGGCUAUUACAAAAUAUUGAGUAGAGUUCCCUGUGCUACACAGUAGGUCCUUGUUCAUCUAUUUUAUAUAUAAUAGUGUGUAUAUGUUAAUCCCCAAAUCCUGAUCUAUCCCUCCCCACCUCAGUUUCCUAUGUCUGUGGGUCUAUUUCUGUUUUGUAAGUAAGUUCAUUUGUAGCCUUUUUUUAGUUGCCUCAUACAAGCAGUAUCAUGUAAUUGUUUCUCUUUCUGAUUUAACUUCACUUAGCAUGAUCGUCUCUAGGCCCAUCCAUGUUGUUGCAAGGGGCAUGAUUUCAUUCUUUUUAUGGCUGAGUAGUAUUCCGUUGUAUUCAUACUCACUUCUAACCACACCCACCUUAGAAAUUGGGGAUUAGUAGAGGGUUGUUGGAGAAUUCAGAGGCCCACCCCCUCAAGAGGGAUGAGUAGGAGGAGCCUGUUCCCGGGAACCUGGGGAAGAGGGGAUUUAAAGGAGCCCUCCAGCGGCAGGUGAAACGUUCUCUGAAGAUGGAAACAGGGAACUGGGAUGUGGCACACCUGUGAACCCCAGCAGCCUCCGGUUGUGCUGGCCGCUUCCCUAACAGCACAGCCAAGAAAGGGGCUGUGUGAGUUCCGCCCCAUCUCCUGGACUGUGGGCACAAAGCCCAGUGCCUGUUUCCCCUGGAGCAGAGAUGGGCCCCUCAUUCCAGAGGGAUGGCUUGUGGUUUUCUUGGAUCCCAUACCCAAGGGGUGGCCUGGAGAAGGGACGGCAGCAGAAAGAAGCUGGAGGUUGAGCUGUGCCUGCGCGGGAGCUGCAGGUGGCUGCAGCCUCCAGGGCAAAAGAAGAGGCUGGGCUGAGAGGGUGAGUCUCCCAAACCAGGAAAGGCAAAGUGUUUAAUUCCUACUCUGCCCAUCUCACAACCCUAUUAGUCAAGGUUAAGGAACUCCCUCACCUUCCUCCAUCCCAGCCCCUACUCACUUCCAACCCUAGAGAGGAGGGACACUCUCUAAGGAAUUUGGGGACAGGAGCUUAGAGCCCCAGGUGAGCAAAGAGCUCACCGAGCUUCCCACCCCUCUCCCACCGUGGACAUCCAGCGGCAGGGACUUGGGAGGAAGAAGCGUUACUACCUUUGAAGGAAGUGAGAAGUUUUUGUUUUCUUUUGUAAAUUACGCCAGACAGGAUGUCUUCAGUUCUGCAAUGAAAUUUUGUUUUGUGACUCAGAGGGGUCGGGAAUGCGUUCCAAUUCUGUGAGAGACCAGAAAAGUCACAGGCUAGCUGUGUGUUUCAUCCGCGGCUGCGGAAGGCAAAAGCAAAGUCGUGUGUGACCAUCUCCCAAGAGUCGAGCCUGUUCAGUGCAUUUCAGGCAUGUUACUUUUGUACCUUAAGAACGAAGCACGUGACUUUCCUCUAUACCUGUCUCUUUUGUCCCAGCACAGAGUCUGGCUUGUGGGAGACGUUCAGAGUCUGGAGGUGUGCUCUGUUAGCAGACUGCUUGCUUGCUUAUCACUGCACAGCAGCCCCGACUCAUCAAGGGAACACAGGGCAGGGUCUGCAGCCAUCAGCUGGGGCCUCCUGUACCUCGGGGGUGGGGCCUCUGUGCCCUUCCUAUGGGGCACAUGGCGUGGGGGGGGAUCACCCCUUCCCGCUUCAGCAGAGGCUAACAGGACUGCCUUUCUUUAGGUCAGAAUAGGAAAAUGGGGCCAGAAGUUGCCAAGUGAAACUUGUUAAAAUGCCAUAGUGUCUCCAAAACAAGUGAACCAUUCUCCACCUCUCUGUGCGCGUGCUUGGGACACAAUGGAAUAUUUUUUCACUUAAAACAAACUUGCAAGAGGAAAUGUACCCAAUGUGCCCCAUGCUUCCUGAUCAGGCAUGAAGGCAGGGGGCAACCUGUGUCCUGACCACUGGGUCUCAGGCUUGAGCCUGCGUCAGAUUCACCUGGAGGACUCGCACAACCAGACCGCUGGCCCCACCCCCAGCCUUCCUGCGUCAGAGGGUGUGGGCGGGGCCAGAGGAUUUUCUUUUCUGACCCGUUUCCAGGUGAUGCUGAUGCUGGGGGCCGACAGAACAGACUUUGAGAGCUGCUGAGCUAGCCUAGAGGAGACGGGCUGGGCGGCCCCUGGCGACCUCAGACCACUCUGAAAUUGUUUAAGUGUCUUAAAAACACUCUUUGCCCACCCUCUUCACUUCUGGCUAAAUACCAUAGAGAGGGUUUUCAGGAACUUCUUUUUGUUAUGCUUUUAAAAAAUUUGUUUUUAAUUGAAGUAUAAUUGAUUUACAAUAUUGUGUUAGGUUCUAGUGUACACCAAAAUGACCCAUUAUACAUAUUUUUUCAGGUUCUUUUCCAUUAUAGGUUAUCACAAGAUACUGAAUAUAGUUCCCUGUGCUAUACAGCAGGACUUGUUGUGUAUCCGUCCUACACAUAAGAGUUUGUAUCUGUUACUCCCAAACGUCCUUCUCCCACCCCCUCCCCCAUGCUAUACAGAAAAUCCUUGUCAUUUAUCUGUUUUACAUAUAGCAGUGUUUAUCUGUUAAUCUCAUACUCCUAAUUUAUCCCUCCCCUCCUUUCCCCUUUGGCAAAUGUAAGAUGUUUUUGUUUUUUGUUUUUUUUUCCCUAAGUCUUUGAGCCUGUUUCUGUUUUGUGAAUAAGUUCUUUUGUUUUGUUUUUUAGAUUCCAGAUAUAAGUGGUACCAUAUAAUAUUUGUCUUUCUCUGUAUAGUUUAUUUCACUUACUAUGAUAAUCUCUAGGUUCAUCCAUGUCACUGCAAAUGGCAUGAUUUCCUUCUUUUUUAUGGCUGAGUAGUAUUCCACUGUAUACAUGUACCAUAUCUUCUUCAUCCAUUCAUCUGCUGAUGGACAUUUAGGUUGCUUCCAUGUCUUGGCUGUUGUGAAUAUUGCUGCUGUGAACAUAUGGGUGCAUGCGUCUUUCUCUGUCUGACUUUCUCUGGCAGCAGAGAGGAGCCUGUGAUUUGGGGGGGCGGCAAUUAGCCUCAGGCUUCAGGUUGCCAGUGUAACUACAUGUGUUGUGGGCAAUACUUUAAGAGGAGAGAAAGGCUCUGGAUAAUCUGGCAGGUGGCGUCUGAGUCUGGCAGGUGCAGGAAUCCAUGGCUGGGGCAGGAGCUGGGUAGGGAUCUCUUGUGGGAAAGGAACAUCAAAAUGGGGUCAGUAUUGCCAAGAGAGCUUGUUAAAGUGGAGCUUGGAGGCCCUUAAGGGAGUGCAACUUGGGCUUGUUUCAGCCUGGAUGGACUCUUACCUUUUGACCUGAUGAAGUUAUGCAGAACACCUGCCAGAAACGUACCCUACCCUAACUCCUGACAGUCCAUCCACUUAUAGAACCCCCUACCCUAAAACAACUUGUGAUUUCCUUAAGGACAAAUAUCUUCUGGUUCAUGUCAGAAUCAAAUCACAGUUCUCACCAGGCAACUUAUAACAACCCUGUGGCUUUUUGUCUUUGUCAGCCCUGACUCUUUCUUAUAUCUGUCUCCCCAAUAGCAAUUCUUAAGAAUCCAAGUAAACUCAUUUCAGGCACCUGCAUUUUUAUUAUUAUUAUUUUGGUUGACACUCAGGACCCUCCCACACAAGAGCACCUGCAUUUCUUGGGAAGGAGUGCAGGGCCAGCUCUCAGAGACUUGCUAACCUGGAUUUGGACCUGAUAUUGAUAUUGAGGGCCCCUCAGGCCUCCCUUAAAACCAGUUGGAGGCAGGUUGGUAGGAGAUGCAGUUUUGCCACCACAAGAUUUUUCCUGCAUCUAUUUCUCCUAUAGAGAGUUGACAUGUUGCUGAGUCUUUUUUUAAUUAAUUUUUUUCUUUUCCGUUAUGGUUUACUACAGGAUAUCAAAUAUAGUUCCCUGUGCUAUUCAGUAGGAUCCUAUUCUCUAUUCAUCUUAUACAUAAUAGUUUGCAUCUGCUAAUCCCAAAUGUCACUCUCCUGCCCCCACCCCGGCAACCACAAGUCUAUUUUCCAUGUGAGUCCAUUUCUGUUUUGUAGAUAAGUUCAUUUGUGUCAUAUUUUAGAUUCCAUGUAUAAGGGAUAUCAUCUGAUAUUUAUUUUUCUCUUUCUGGCUUAACUUAGCAUGAUAAUCUCUAAGUCUAUCCAUGUUGCUACAAAUGGCAUGAUUUCAUUCUUUUUUCUGGCUGAAUAAUAUUCCAUUGUGUACGUAUACCACAUUUUCUUUAUCCUUUCAUCUGUCCAUGGACAUUUAGGUUGUUUCCAUGUCUUGGCUAUUAUAAAUAGUGCUGCUAUGAACAUAAAGGGGCAUAUAUCUUUGGAAUUCUAGUUUUAUCCUGAUUUAUGCCCAGGAGUGGGAUUGCUAGAUCACAUAGCUGCCAAGUCUUGGUUAUUAUCCUGGACUUGGGAAUUCAGGGGGUGGAUUCAUCAAUGAAUAGAUAAAGGAGAGAGAAAAAAAUUCCUAAUACAUAGAGGGUAUAUCAGCUUUCUGGAUGGAAGUUGAGGGGAAAACUUAAUGUAAUUGGCACAAGUCAUAAGGCCAAGAAAUUCAACUCAAAUGAAAAGUUCAGUCCCUUGAACACGGAUUCUAGGAAACCUGUUGUUCAUUAGCUGGAGGAGAAGCACAAUUGCAGCCAGUAAAACAUCUUCAGGAAUGUAUGUCAGAUGGAAAAUGUUGGGAAUAGAUGAGUUGGUUCUUGACAAUAAGGAAGUGACCUAGAAGGAUGUUUGUGCAGAGUAGGGAUAACCAAUGCCACAGGGCUGGGGAAAGUUUAAUUUCAGGAAGCAGUAUUUAGAAAAAAGAAAUCAAAUGGUUCUCUGGCAUCCAGAUGAAAGUACCAGUUUCACCAUCAGCACUUGAGGAGGACUAUGCUGCUAUAGAAAUAAGUGAGGGGACGGAGUCAGAAGCAGGUGGUUUAACUUACUGGUGGUAAAAGAUAAACAAAGGCACAUUAAACAUUUUAAGAGUUUGAGAAGUUCCUGUCAUGGCUCAGUGGUUAACAAAUCCGACUAGGAACCAUGAGGUUGUGGGUUUGAUCCCUGGCCUUAUUCAGUGGGUUAAGGAUCCGGUGUUGCCGUGAGCUGUGGUGUAGGUCACAGACAUGGCUCAGAUCCCAGGUUGCUGUGGCUCUGGUGUAGGCCGGUGACUACUGCUCCGAUUAGACCCCUAGCCUGGGAACCUCCAUAUGCC
RNAcentral lists this long non-coding RNA (5864 nucleotides) under Sus scrofa (pig). Its description in RNAcentral is "lncRNA (ENSSSCG00000061287.1)". The record is from RNAcentral. Lineage: Eukaryota; Metazoa; Chordata; Mammalia; Artiodactyla; Suidae.